This 759-nucleotide ribosomal RNA is filed under the name Pseudomonas sp. enrichment culture. RNAcentral's name for it is "bacterial SSU rRNA". It matches the Rfam family "Bacterial small subunit ribosomal RNA", at positions 28 to 774 of the family's 1533-position model. The record is from RNAcentral. Lineage: Bacteria; Pseudomonadati; Pseudomonadota; Gammaproteobacteria; Pseudomonadales; Pseudomonadaceae.
AUUGAACGCUGGCGGCAGGCUUAACACAUGCAAGUCGAGCGGUAACAGAGAGUAGCUUGCUACUCUGCUGACGAGCGGCGGACGGGUGAGUAAUGCCUAGGAAUCUGCCUAGUAGUGGGGGAUAACUUGCCGAAAGGUAAGCUAAUACCGCAUACGUCCUACGGGAGAAAGGAGGGGACUCUUCGGAGCCUUUCGCUAUUAGAUGAGCCUAGGUCGGAUUAGUUAGUUGGUGAGGUAAUGGCUCACCAAGACCGCGAUCCGUAACUGGUCUGAGAGGAUGAUCAGUCACACUGGAACUGAGACACGGUCCAGACUCCUACGGGAGGCAGCAGUGGGGAAUAUUGGACAAUGGGGGAAACCCUGAUCCAGCCAUGCCGCGUGUGUGAAGAAGGUCUUAGGAUUGUAAAGCACUUUAAGUUGGGAGGAAGGGCAGUUAACUAAUAUUUGACUGUUUUGACGUUACCGACAGAAUAAGCACCGGCUAACUUCGUGCCAGCAGCCGCGGUAAUACGAAGGGUGCAAGCGUUAAUCGGAAUUACUGGGCGUAAAGCGCGCGUAGGUGGUUCGUUAAGUUAGGAGUGAAAGCCCCGGGCUCAACCUGGGAAUUGCUUCUAAAACUGGCGAGCUAGAGUAUGGUAGAGGGUGGUGGAAUUUCCUGUGUAGCGGUGAAAUGCGUAGAUAUAGGAAGGAACAUCAGUGGCGAAGGCGACCACCUGGACUAAUACUGACACUGAGGUGCGAAAGCGUGGGGAGCAAACA